This 497-nucleotide ribosomal RNA is filed under the name uncultured bacterium. RNAcentral describes it as "partial 16S ribosomal RNA". It matches the Rfam family "Bacterial small subunit ribosomal RNA", at positions 28 to 507 of the family's 1533-position model. The record is from RNAcentral.
GAUGAACGCUGGCGGCGUGCCUAAUACAUGCAAGUAGAACGCUGAAGGAAGGAGCUUGCUCUUUCCGGAUGAGUUGCGGACGGGUGAGUAACGCGUAGGUAACCUGCCUGGUAGCGGGGGAUAACUAUUGGAAACGAUAGCUAAUACCGCAUAACAGUAGAUGUUGCAUGAUAUCUACUUAAAAGGUGCAAUUGCACCACUACCAGAUGGACCUGCGUUGUAUUAGCUAGUUGGUGAGGUAACGGCUCACCAAGGCGACGAUACAUAGCCGACCUGAGAGGGUGAUCGGCCACACUGGGACUGAGACACGGCCCAGACUCCUACGGGAGGCAGCAGUAGGGAAUCUUCGGCAAUGGACGGAAGUCUGACCGAGCAACGCCGCGUGAGUGAAGAAGGUUUUCGGAUCGUAAAGCUCUGUUGUAAGAGAAGAACGAGUGUGAGAGUGGAAAGUUCACACUGUGACGGUAGCUUACCAGAAAGGGACGGCUAACUACGUG